GGGGGGGGGGGGGGGGGGGGGGGGGGGAGGGGGGUCGGGGGGGGGGGCAGUAGGGGGGGGGGCUUGCGGGGGGCGAGUGGGGGAGGGGGGGGGAGUACAUCGGAGGCUGCUUUCGGGUGGGGGAUAACAUGGGGAAGCUUCCCGGGCUAGCGGAUAGGACGUGCGGAUGGACCGGGGGGAUCUUCGGCCAUGGCGCGAUGUAGUGAGCCGAGGGCGGAUUAGCUAGUUGGCGGGGUAAAGGCCCACCAAGGCGACGAUCGUGAGCUGGUCUGAGAGGAUGAUCAGCCACACUGGAACUGAGACACGGUCCAGACUCCUACGGGAGGCAGCAGUGGGGAAUAUUGGACAAUGGGCGCAAGCCUGAUCCAGCCAUACCGCGUGGGUGAAGAAGGCCUUCGGGUUGUAAAGCCCUUUUGUUGGGAAAGAAAAGCAGCAGGUUAAUACCCCGCUGUUCUGACGGUACCCAAAGAAUAAGCACCGGCUAACUUCGUG
Molecule: ribosomal RNA, 492 nt
Filed under: uncultured bacterium
Lineage: Bacteria
Description: partial 16S ribosomal RNA
Rfam family: Bacterial small subunit ribosomal RNA (bases 71-492)
Source: RNAcentral